CAGUACUGGAGAACAUUCUAAGAAUAAACAGGGGAGGAACCCGGAUUUGCGGUUAGGGGGGCGCAAAGAUUUAUUUUUGCCGAGUGGAGCGAGGCGAAAAAAACUUUUGAGGUAAAAUUAUUGAAAUAUUCUUACAAAGGGGUGAUAUGUAGAUAUCUCGAACUAUUGUGUGGUAAAAUUAGCAAAAAAUUAUAUAAGAGUGAGUCUAAAAAGCUACAGUUAUAAAGCUGCAGCACCACAAACAGAAGCUGAAGAUCAUGCGAACAUUUUAUUUUGAUUCUGUGUUCCUGUGCAAACCAAUCUACAAUCAAGCAAGACACCAGCACUAUAAAUUGUAAAAUUAUCUAUAUAGCAAUAUCAGGUAUUAACUUGACUAAACCUUGAAAGACAUGGUGCUGGUAGUUGUGACCUACGGACACAAAGUGAAACGAGACAUGCAGAUUACAACAGUUCACCUGACCAAUACUAGUAUUAGAUUUUGCUAACGAAAAUUUCUACUUUUACCAGCGAUUUUUAAUUGUCCUUUCAUAAUGUCUGUUUUUUACUUUUUUUGGAUUUUCGGAGGUCGUGCCAGACUUUACUGUGUUCGCCACAAACAACUAAAAUCAGAAUGAGAUGCAUCUACGAAGUUAUAUGUUAUCUUUAUUUUCUUGGGAUCCCAAGCAUAUAAUCACGGAACCUAAUUCGGCUAAAUGUUUAGGUUGAAAGUGCGAAAUAAAUAUAGACACAGAGAUACAAAUUAAUAACCUAGAACCUUUCGCUUGAAACAGUAUUUCUAUCUUUCAUUACUGGUAUUAUGAAAGAAUCUCACCUGCCGAUAUCGCGAAUGUUUUCUUGACUGCCAUAAUGAACUAGUGAAAGUGAGUAAGGGAUGUUUUGAAACUUCCGAGUACUUCGAGUAUCAAAGAAACUGAUUUUAAAACCGCAAAUACACUCAAUGUAACAUUUGUUUUUAGCUCACCUGGCCCGAAGGGCCAAGUGAGCUUUUCCCAUCACUUUGCGUCCGUCGUCCGUUGUCGUUGUUAACUUUUACAAAAAUCUUCUCCUCUGAAACUACUGGGCCAAAUUAAACCAAACUUGACCACAAUCAUCAUUGGUGUAUCUAGUUUUAAAAAUGUGUCCGGUGACCCGGCCAACCAACCAAGAUGGCCGCCAUGGCUAAAAAUAGAACAUAGGGGUAAAAUGCAGUUUUUGGAUUAUAACUCAAAAACCAAAGCAUUCAGAGCAACUGACAUGGGGUAAAAUUGUUUAUCAGGUCAAGAUCUAUCUGCCCCAAAAUAUUCAGAUGAAUCGGGACAACCCGUUGUUGGUUUGCUGCCCCUAAAUUGGUAAUUUUAAGGAAAUUGUACUGUUUUUGGUUAUUAUCUUGAAUAUUAUUAUAUAGUCAGAUAAUGUAAACAGCAAUAAUUCAGCAAAUAACUUGAAAUAUUUACAAAUAAGUCAACAUGACCGAAAUGGUCAGUGACCCCUUUAGAGAGUUAUUGCCCUUUAUAUUCAAGUUUUAACAUUUUUCGUAAAUCUUAGUAAUCUUUUACAAAAAUUUUCUCCUCUGAAACUACUGGGCCAAAUUAAUCCAAACUUGGCGACAAUCAUCAUUAGGGUCUCUAGUUUAAAAAAUGUGUGGCGUGACCCUGCCAACCAAGAUGGCCGCCAUUGCUAAAAAUAGAACAUAGGGGUAAAAUGUAGAUUUUGGCUUAUAACUCUAAACUCAAAGCAUUUAGAGAAAAUCUGACAUGGGGGUAAAAUAAUAUUAGGUCAAGAUCUAUCUGCCCUGAAAUUUUUAGACAAAUCGACAACCCGUGUUGGUUGCUGCCCUGAAUUAGUAAUUUUAAGGAAAUUUUGCAGUUUUUGCUUAUAGAUAAAGAUAAACUGUAAACAGCAAUAAUGUUCAGCAAAGUAAGAUCUUCAAAUAAGUCAACAUGACCAAAAUUGUCAGUUGAUCCAUUAAGGAGUUAUGCCCUUUUAUAGUCAAUUUUUAACCAUUUUUCUAAAAUUUUAGUUUUCUUUUAAAAAAUCUUUUCCUCUGAAACUACUGGGCCAAAUUUAACCAAAGUUGGCCACAAUCAUCAUUUGGGUAACUAGUUUUAAAAAUAUGUGGCGUGACCCUGUCAACCAACCAAGAUGGUCGCCAUGGCUAAAAAUAGUCAUUGAGGGGCGAAAUGUAGAUUUUGGCUUAUAUCUCUGAAACCAAAGCAUUUAGAGCAAAUCUGACUGGGAUAAAUUGUUAAUCAGGUCAAGAUCUAUCUGCCCUGAAAUUUUCAGACAAAACAGACAACCUGUUGUUUGGUUGCUGCCACCGAAUUAGUAAUUUUAAGAAAUUUUGCAGUUUUUGUUAUUAUCUUGAAUAUUAUAAUAGAUAGAGAUAAACUGUAAACAGCAAUAAUGUUCAGCAAAGUAAGAUCUACAAAUAAGUCAAAUGACCAAAAUUGUCAGUUGACCCCUUAAGGAGUUAUCGCCCUUUAUAGUCAUUUUUUAACAAUUUUUACCAAUUUUUGUAAAUUUUUUGAAUAUAUUUUCCACUGUAAUUACUGGGCCAAGUUCAUUAUAGAUAGAGAUAAUUGUAGCAAGAAUAAUGUCCAGUAAAGUAAGAUCUACAAACACAUCAUGGUCACCAAAACACAAUUUUGUCAUGAAUUUAUCUGUGUCCAUUGUUUAAUAUGCACAUAGACCAAGGUGAGCGACACAGGCUCUUGAGAGCCUCUAGUUACUUUAACUGCUAAAAACCUAUUAUUUUUGUCAUCAAACGCAGCUCCGCGUUUGACAUCUUCCUUUGAAAUAUUGUAUAGAACUUAAAUAAAUCGUAGUCAGUUGAUAAGUAAUCACGUAAACUGACUGUUUUAUAUACUUUGAAUGUUAAAAAAGAUGGAAAGGUCUCUUCUGACACCUAAAUAAGUUCAAGACAACCAAUGCUUUGUAAAUUUUAGGGGGGGCACACGCCCGCCACGCCCCCGCCUAAAUCCGCCCCUGACAAACGUCAUCUUGGACAUAAUUCGUGGCUAACUACAGAGUGAGUUAAUUUUACAACAUUGUAUUCGAACCCAGUUACCCUUCAAAAUCGUCUCCACAUAUUGGAACCUUUUCUCCGUGAAAUAACUAAAAUUUAAGCGUUCUUGAAAGUACAAGAUUUUCUCCGUUCAACGGACUGUGCUAUCAAUUAUUUUUGACAUUUCGUUAUCAUAAAUUUAAGUAAACACAUUGUAAAAUUGUAUUUUAUUUGUAUUUUCAGCUUUUUACCAUAUGUCAGAUUGGUUCAUAAUUAAAGUAUCAGCACCUGAUAGUGGAAUAUUACAAGUUCACCCCGGUACCUCUCAUAUGUUAGAUAUGGAGAACAACAAAC
RNAcentral lists this long non-coding RNA (3337 nucleotides) under Mytilus galloprovincialis (Mediterranean mussel). The record is from RNAcentral. Lineage: Eukaryota; Metazoa; Mollusca; Bivalvia; Mytilida; Mytilidae.